UGGGGCAUCGUCCAGCGGCAGGACUCGGGUUUUUGGUGCCCGCUACGGGGGUUCGAAUCCCUCUGCCCCAGCCA
This 74-nucleotide transfer RNA is filed under the name Collinsella intestinalis. RNAcentral's name for it is "tRNA-Gln". It matches the Rfam family "tRNA". From Rfam's summary of the family: Transfer RNA (tRNA) molecules are approximately 80 nucleotides in length. Their secondary structure includes four short double-helical elements and three loops (D, anti-codon, and T loops). RNAcentral also lists the same sequence under 1 other name. The record is from RNAcentral. Lineage: Bacteria; Bacillati; Actinomycetota; Coriobacteriia; Coriobacteriales; Coriobacteriaceae.